CAUCCCCCAGUGGCAAGUGUGAGACACUGUUUCUGGUCCAUUCGUUCUGUGCCGCACGCCGCCGGUGUUCAAAGCAGCGGUCCUCAGUGGUUGGUCGCUCUGCAUAGUGUUCAGAAGAGAUUAAGAAAAGGCAUUUGUUUUCUGGUGUGGAACCCCUUCAGAUUCAGAUCUGAGUGAGAAUGGGACCUCAUUAGAUGAUGUAACCUGUGAGCAUACAAUUGGAAUGAAAAAAUGCAGUCUCUUCAGAAAGUCUACAAAAAGCAAGCCUCAAGAAGUAGUUUCUUUUUAUCCCUGAAGAGGCCUGCCUUCAUAUAGCUACAUACAGAUAUAUAGCCAACAUAUAGCUGUAGCCUAUCAUGCAAGAUUGAGCGCGAGUGCAAAAGUUCUCGUUUCUACUGACUCCACAAAAAUGCAUUUUUAAAUAGACUAAGGAACUGAACUCUUUACAGCUUUGAGCUGUGAAUACCAACCUAUAUUACAUAACAUUAUCCUCUUAACUCUUUGAUCCUCCUUGUAAUCAUCAGCUAUAAGUUUGCCACCAGUUUUUGGAAGACUAUUUAGUAAGGUUCCAUAAAGCUUUACUGGUUACUUAAUUAGAUGAAAAACUGCUUUGUCUUUCUAUAAGUUAAGGGUUGGUAUCUGUUUUUGAAAGGAUGGGUUUACAUGAGAAAUGUAGUCACUAAUGUUGGCUUUCUGUAAAGCCUAUUUGAAAAAAGAGUAAGAUAAUUUCUAGGUACUCUUCAAUGAGUAAAGAGGGCCUUGAUCUGCUUAUUCAACAUUGAUUGGAAGUACAGUAAAGAAAAUUUUGCAGAUGUUGGACAACAUUUCACUGUUUUGUUUUACUUUUUGUUUGAUUUCCUCUCUGCUUUUGUUUGGGUUGGUCAUUUUUUGAGGGAACUUCAUCUAGCACUUUGAGUUUCUAAAUUGAAAGAUAUUUCUUUCAUUAAAAGUGAAACUAUUUCCACAUGUUUUGCUUGAUUUCAUGUGCUGUUAAUAUUGCUAUUAAAAUACUUUCCAGAAA
This is a non-coding RNA of Taeniopygia guttata (zebra finch), 1021 nucleotides long. The record is from RefSeq and is a predicted model, not a curated record. NCBI's taxonomy places the organism in Eukaryota, Metazoa, Chordata, Aves, Passeriformes, Estrildidae.